This 349-nucleotide ribosomal RNA is filed under the name Xenoschesis sp. Its description in RNAcentral is "eukaryotic LSU rRNA". The record is from RNAcentral. Lineage: Eukaryota; Metazoa; Arthropoda; Insecta; Hymenoptera; Ichneumonidae. RNAcentral also lists the same sequence under 1 other name.
CGAAUGGGGAGAUUCAUCGUCAGCGAUCCAGGCACUCGUGCGGUUCGUGAUGCCGGAGGCUUCGGUCUCAUGGCACAAGUCCGUAUGAUUUUUUUGCCGGGUGUCGUCGGCGUGCACUUCUCCCCUAGUAGGACGUCGCGACCCGUUGGGUGUCGGUCUACGGCCCGGGUGGGCGCCUGUCAUGUGUUACGCUUUACGGCGUCAUGUGGCAGACCCCCGGUUGUCUGACCAGCUGCUCGGCGGUACUCGCACGGUAUCGAGUCGCAAAUAUUCGAACUGCGUCCGGCCCRCCGCAAGCGAGGCCAGUGUUUCCCGGAUGUACGGACCUAGCGCCGUCACCGGGCCUGGC